CUUUUCUCCAGAAAUCAUCUUCUAUACCAGAAGAUUUUGCAAAGAAAAUAGAACUGACAGAUAAAGUAUUAACAAAACUGAGAUAUGGUACGGAUGGGCUCCGGAGUUGUUCCACACCUUGGAAAACAUAGGCGCACACACACAGCCUGCACAAUUACAGCCCUAGAGAGCGGAGACUCUCAGAGGGAAGCCAGGGGCAGCGGGGCAUCCAGGAUAAGAUGUAUUAACCUAUCAAAGCAUUUGAAGGAAGCUUCCUCCCUCCCUUGCAAUAAUGAACAUUGGAUUCUGCUAAAAAUAUGAGAUGAGUUUCAAGUCACGAAAACGUAUUGCUGCUUAUGAUCACCAUCCCUCAAUAAGCAAUUUAUGGAAUAUUUCUUUAAAUGCUAUUUGAUUUGAUACUACCAUUUUUUCUUCCAAACAUAUUUUCUGAUGUUCUUAUUUAAUAAUGACAUUUCAGUACAAAGACAUAAAAUAUCCAAAUGUUUUUAAUCUUCAAGUAACCUGUGGUAAGUCUGCUAGCUAUAAAAUAAUAAUAAUGUUUUGGAUUUCUACAGCUAAAUUAAAGAAGAAACUACUCUAGGGGAUCAUUAUACUUAAUUUCACCUUGUACUGUCCUGAAAACAAAACACAAGACUUGAUGUGAACAUAGAAUAUAAGAUUUAAGAUUUUUUUUCAUUUAAGCAAAUAUACUUAAACUCCCUACAUUGGAGAAUUUAUCCUAAUUGCCAAGACAACUGUUAUAGAUAAUGAGCUAUAUUAUGAUGAACUGGCAUUUGUGUAGAUAGAAUUCUUUUGGAAAUGGAAAAAGAAGAAAAAGCUUAUAGCAAAUGCAUUAUUGGAAAGUA
Molecule: long non-coding RNA, 845 nt
Organism: Thamnophis elegans (Western terrestrial garter snake)
Lineage: Eukaryota; Metazoa; Chordata; Lepidosauria; Squamata; Natricidae
Exons: 3
Source: RefSeq, a predicted model, not a curated record